This 451-nucleotide ribosomal RNA is filed under the name uncultured bacterium. Its description in RNAcentral is "bacterial SSU rRNA". It matches the Rfam family "Bacterial small subunit ribosomal RNA", at positions 28 to 480 of the family's 1533-position model. The record is from RNAcentral.
GAUGAACGCUAGCGGCAGGCCUAACACAUGCAAGUCGAGGGAGAAGCCCUUUCGGGGGCAGAAACCGGCGCACGGGUGCGUAACGCGUAUGCAACCUACCUUUCACAGGGGGAUAGCCCGAAGAAAUUUGGAUUAAUACCCCAUAAUAUUAUUGGAUGGCAUCAUUUGAUAAUUAAAGCUACGACGGUGAAAGAUGGGCAUGCGUCCUAUUAGCUAGUUGGAGUGGUAACGGCACCCCAAGGCUACGAUAGGUAGGGGUCCUGAGAGGGAGAUCCCCCACACUGGUACUGAGACAGGGACCAGACUCCUACGGGAGGCAGCAGUGAGGAAUAUUGGUCAAUGGUCGGAAGACUGAACCAGCCAUGCCGCGUGCAGGAAGAAUGCCUUAUGGGUUGUAAACUGCUUUUAUAUGGGAAGAAUAAGGCGUACGUGCACGUNGANGACGNUNCCA